AGGAAUUUUCUUGGUCAAAGUUUGAAAGAGAACAUAAUCUUUCUAUUUAAACACACAGGAUCUACCAACUCUGGCCGGGUAACAAUGUAAGCCUUUCUUAAUUCUUUCUCACGAUAUAUCUAUUUGACAAACAAACAAAAGGGUUUUUGUGUCCUGACACAACAUAUAUCAUGUUCGGAAAGAGAUUUGAUAUUAAACCCAUGAUGUGUUAAUGUCAAAACCAGCUUGAUGUUUCUCGUUUUUAUGUUUUAGAAAUUUUAUUGCGGAGGGAGACUAGUCUUUGGUCCAGAUGCAUCGUCGCUCCUUCUGACCAUUCACAGUUAUGAUUGGAGGUCCUGCUCUCACUUUCUGCAUCCGAAUGGCUUUUAAUUUUUAUGAUCGGGAAACGCUAUCCGUUGUUCCACUCUCUUGUAUUGUUGGGUGCACUGUUGCUCACAGUCUUGGAUUUCACAUUUCUCUUCUUAACUUCCUCGAGAGACCCCGGGAUUAUCCCUAGAAACAAAGAAGCACCUGAAGCAGAAGGGUUUGAUAUGAUCACUCAAUCCUCAGAAUGGGUGGUAAACAACAAACUAAUUGUAGUUAAUCAAUUAUACAUUUAAUACUAUAGUACCAUGAUAGUGAAAUUGUGGUUUUCUCAUACAUUAUUUACUAAUAGCUAUUUUAAAAGGAUAGGUGCUGAUUUGUUGACCAUUCAGAGCAUAGAUUAGUCGUUACCCGUUAGUAGACCACCCAUAUUUGAAUUACGACUUGGAGACAACUCAAAAGUAUAGAUUACGAUAUUCGUAAAUGCUAUCGCUUGUAAAAAAAAUCAUGGAUCAUAUAAAAUGAAUUUGUAUUCAAAUACGUAUCGGCAAAUGUUCCAAAACUUUUCAGUAUCUUACAAACUAAAUUAACCAAACCACCAAUUUAAUUUUUGAGUAUAACCAGAGGAAAUUUAAAAAAAAAAAAAAAAAAAAA
This is a non-coding RNA of Camelina sativa (false flax), 957 nucleotides long. Lineage: Eukaryota; Viridiplantae; Streptophyta; Magnoliopsida; Brassicales; Brassicaceae. The record is from RefSeq and is a predicted model, not a curated record.